This 433-nucleotide ribosomal RNA is filed under the name uncultured bacterium. Its description in RNAcentral is "partial 16S ribosomal RNA". It matches the Rfam family "Bacterial small subunit ribosomal RNA", at positions 29 to 507 of the family's 1533-position model. The record is from RNAcentral.
AACGAACGCUGGCGGCAUGCCUAACACAUGCAAGUCGAACGAGACCUUCGGGUCUAGUGGCGCACGGGUGCGUCACGCGUGGGAACCUGACCUUAGGUUCGGAAUAACUCCCCGAAAGGGGUGCUAAUACCGAAUAAUGUCUUCGGACCAAAGAUUUAUCGCCUUUGGAUGGGCCCGCGUUGGAUUAGCUAGUUGGUAGGGUAAAAGCCUACCAAGGCGACGAUCCAUAGCUGGUCUGAGAGGAUGAUCAGCCACACUGGGACUGAGACACGGCCCAGACUCCUACAGGAGGCAGCAGUGGGGAAUAUUGGACAAUGGGCGAAAGCCUGAUCCAGCAAUGCCGCGUGAGUGAUGAAGGCCUUAGGGUUGUAAAGCGCUAUUACCCGGGAUGAUAAUGACAGUACCGGGAGAAUAAGCUCCGGCUAACUCCGUG